RNAcentral lists this long non-coding RNA (713 nucleotides) under Homo sapiens (human). RNAcentral describes it as "non-protein coding lnc-LRRC56-3:3". Lineage: Eukaryota; Metazoa; Chordata; Mammalia; Primates; Hominidae. The record is from RNAcentral.
CACUGCGCAGGCAUCUGUAAACAGUGCAUGGGCAUGUGUGCUCACUGUGUGCACAGGCGUCUGUAAACUGCACGGGCGUGUGUGCUGUGUGUGUGCAGGCGAGCGUAAACAGUGCACGGAUGCGUGUGCUCACCGUGUGCGCAGGCGAGUGUAAGUGCACGGGUGUGUGUGCUGUGCGCAGGCGAGUGUAAACUGCACGGGCGCGUGUGCUCACCGUGUGCGCAGGCGAGUGUAAACAGUGCACGGGUGCGUGUGCUCACUGUGCGCAGGCGUCUGUAAACAGUGCACGGGCGUGUGUGUGCUCACUGCGCAGGCGAGUGUAAACUGCACGGGCGCGUGUGUGCUCACUGUGUGCGCAGGCGAGCGUAAACUGCACGGGCACGUGUGCUCACUGCGCAGGCGAGCGUAAACAGUGCACGGGCGCGUGUGUGCUCACUGUGUGCGCAGGCGAGUGUAAACUGCACGGGCACGUGUGCUUACUGUGCACAGGCGAGUGUAAACAGUGCACGGGCGCGUGUGCUCACUGUGUGCGCAGGCGAGUGUAAGUGCACGGGCGUGUGUGCUCACUGCGCAGGCGAGUGUAAACUGCACAGGCGCGUGUGUGCUCACUGUGCGCAGGCGAGUGUAAACUGCACGGGCGCGUGUGUGCUCACUGCGCAGGCGAGCGUAAACAGUGCACGGGCGCGCGUGUGCUCACCGUGCGCGCAGGCGAG